GCCUCAGUAGCAUAGCGGUUAAUGCAAAGCCUCGGUUAUUCGAACCCGCGAGACGCGGGUUCGAAUCCCGCCUGACAUG
Molecule: transfer RNA, 79 nt
Filed under: Nippostrongylus brasiliensis
Lineage: Eukaryota; Metazoa; Nematoda; Chromadorea; Rhabditida; Heligmosomidae
Rfam family: tRNA
About the family: Transfer RNA (tRNA) molecules are approximately 80 nucleotides in length. Their secondary structure includes four short double-helical elements and three loops (D, anti-codon, and T loops).
Source: Rfam by way of RNAcentral